Molecule: ribosomal RNA, 260 nt
Filed under: uncultured bacterium
Lineage: Bacteria
Description: partial 16S ribosomal RNA
Rfam family: Bacterial small subunit ribosomal RNA
Source: RNAcentral
UACGUAGGGUGCAAGCGUUGUCCGGAAUUAUUGGGCGUAAAGAGGCUCGUAGGCGGUUUGGUUGCGUCGGCUUGUGAAAUCCCGAUGGCUCAACCUCGGGAUCUGCAGUCGAUACGAGCAAACUAGAGUGUUGCAGGGGAGACUGGAAUUCCUGGUGUAGCGGUGAAAUGCGCAGAUAUCAGGAGGAACACCGGUGGCGAAGGCGGGUCUCUGGGCAACAACUGACGCUGAGGAGCGGAAAGCGUGGGGGAGCGAACAGG